Molecule: small RNA, 649 nt
Filed under: Pan troglodytes (chimpanzee)
Lineage: Eukaryota; Metazoa; Chordata; Mammalia; Primates; Hominidae
Description: retained intron
Source: RNAcentral
ACAGGCUAUUUUUUUUCUUGAUUUCAUGAUAACGACCUGUUUAUAGUAAACUGGCUUGUCAAUUAUUAUAUCUUAUAGAGUGAAAAUUCUUUUUAUUUGAUGUUUGAUUCUCAUUCAGAAACUUGUUUUUGCCUCUUCUUUUACAGUUUUUUAUUUACUAUCCAAAUGUGUUUUUUAAAACGUUAAAAAAACAAACCAAAACAGAUACUUAAUUCUUCCUUAUUGUGUUUGUGGUUUAUUCAGUGCUGUUGGGACAUUCGCCAGAGCCCUGGAUUGCAGCAGUUCUGUGAGGCAGCCUAGUUUGCAUAUGAGUGCUGCUGCAGCUUCCCGAGACAUCACCUUGUUUCACGCUAUGGAUACAUUGUAUAGACACAGCUAUGAUUUGAGCAGUGCCAUUAGUGUCUUAGUACCACUCGGAGGACCUGUUUUAUGCAGAGAUGAAAUGGAGGAAUGGUCAGCCUCUGAAGCUAGCUUAUUUGAAGAGGCACUGGAAAAAUAUGGCAAAGACUUCAAUGACAUACGGCAAGAUUUUGUAAGUAGAAAAUUAUGAGUAAAAUAAAAUGUUGAGAUGGGAAUAUUCUGUUUUAGAAAUCUGGUAAACCUUACAGUAUUCAUGUAGCAAGUUUGUGAGUUAAUAAUUUUUAUCUGC